Molecule: non-coding RNA, 111 nt
Organism: Acanthosepion pharaonis
Lineage: Eukaryota; Metazoa; Mollusca; Cephalopoda; Sepiida; Sepiidae
Source: the annotation of a GenBank genome assembly
UAGGGCCAUAUCACGUUUAAACAUUAGUUUCCGUAAGAUCACCAGUUAAGCAACAUCGAGCCUGGUUAGUACCUAGAUGGGUAAUCGUUUGGAAAUACCGGGUGCUGUAAG